AAGGGGGCGAGCGUUGUUCGGAAUUACUGGGCGUAAAGGGUGUGUAGGUUGACGUGUAAGAUAGCGGUGAAAUCCCAGAGCUCAACUUUGGAAUUGCCAUUAUAACUAUGCGUCUAGAAUUAUAGAGAGGAUAGCGGAAUACCCAGUGUAGAGGUGAAAUUCGUAGAUAUUGGGUAGAACACCGGUGGCGAAGGCGGCUAUCUGGCUAUAUAUUGACACUGAGGCACGAAAGCAUGGGGAUCAAA
This 245-nucleotide ribosomal RNA is filed under the name uncultured bacterium. RNAcentral's name for it is "partial 16S ribosomal RNA". It matches the Rfam family "Bacterial small subunit ribosomal RNA", at positions 528 to 772 of the family's 1533-position model. The record is from RNAcentral.